RNAcentral lists this ribosomal RNA (390 nucleotides) under Triticum aestivum (bread wheat). Its description in RNAcentral is "partial small subunit ribosomal RNA". The record is from RNAcentral. Lineage: Eukaryota; Viridiplantae; Streptophyta; Magnoliopsida; Poales; Poaceae.
AUGGUAGAGGUGCCGCUGCAGUCUGUCCUCGCGGAGCAGGCUGAGCUGCAAGACUGCCUGAUGAGAGUUGCGAGUUUUUUGGCGAGAGCUGAGGCGGUUCUGUGCAGGCUCACAAUCAUGCCAGAUUUGCCUCCGUUGGCCGAGAUCCAGGUUGAUUCCAAGGGCGAGGGUGAAACAGACCCCUAUGGUUGUUUCUCUCCUCGUGAUAGGCACAUCGCCGUGGUCGUCACUCCAGUGAUGCAAAUUAUUCCUGGGCUGCAGGAGCUAUGUGAGGCACCAUCUCCGCCUUUGUCGAUGGUGCUUCCAAAGGAGAUGGGCUUGGUGAUGCCCAUGAUGCCAUCUUUGCCAAUGUUGGCGGCAAGCCCGCCAUCCGUUCGUUGUGGACAAUGA